UACGUAGGAGGCAAGCGUUAUCCGGAAUGACUGGGCGUAAAGGGUGCGUAGGUGGUUUGACAAGUUAGUAGCGCAACUCCGGAGCUCAACUUCGGAACUACUACUAAAACUGUAGAUCUUGAGUACUGGAGGGGAAAGCGGAAUUCCUAGUGUAGCGGUGAAAUGCGUAGAUAUUAGGAGGAACACCAGUGGCGAAGGCGGCCUGCUGGACUGUAACUGACGUUGAGGCUCGAAAGCGUGGGGAGCAAACAGG
RNAcentral lists this ribosomal RNA (253 nucleotides) under uncultured Eubacteriales bacterium. RNAcentral's name for it is "uncultured Clostridiales bacterium partial 16S ribosomal RNA". It matches the Rfam family "Bacterial small subunit ribosomal RNA", at positions 524 to 776 of the family's 1533-position model. Lineage: Bacteria; Bacillati; Bacillota; Clostridia; Eubacteriales. The record is from RNAcentral.